This 331-nucleotide unclassified non-coding RNA is filed under the name soil metagenome. RNAcentral's name for it is "partial contains 5.8S ribosomal RNA, internal transcribed spacer 2, and large subunit ribosomal RNA". The stretch from base 1 to 120 matches the Rfam family "5.8S ribosomal RNA", at positions 35 to 154 of the family's 154-position model. The record is from RNAcentral.
GAUGAAGAACGCAGCGAAAUGCGAUAAGUAAUGCGAAUUGCAGAAUUCAGUGAAUCAUCGAAUCUUUGAACGCACAUUGCGCCCCCUGGUAUUCCGGGGGGCAUGCCUGUUCGAGCGUCAUUUCACCACUCAAGCCUCGCUUGGUAUUGGGCAACGCGGUCCGCCGCGUGCCUCAAAUCGUCCGGCUGGGUCUUCUGUCCCCUAAGCGUUGUGGAAACUAUUCGCUAAAGGGUGUUCGGGAGGCUACGCCGUAAAACAACCCCAUUUCUAAGGUUGACCUCGGAUCAGGUAGGGAUACCCGCUGAACUUAAGCAUAUCAAUAAGCGGAGGA